UCAGACCAGGAGUCCGGCCGGCCUCCUCCCUCAGAACGGGGGUCACACUCAGCCGCCUCCCUCAGACAGACACCCACACAUUGGGCCUCUCCUCCCACAGACCCGGGGGUCCACGUCCAGCCUCCUCCUGCAGAUCCCGGGCUCAUGAGUGAAAUGAGGACGAAAAGCUAUGAGAGAGGGAUGAUCGGAACCCGCAUUUCUCCAGUGGGGAAACUGAGGCACGGGAAGGCCAAGAAACGUGCUCAAGGUCACCUGUCGGGGGAGCUGGGACGCAAGCCCAGACCGUUGCUUGCCAUCCUAAAGGAUGGGGCUUCGGCACAACGUGUUGAAAACGGAAGGAAAUCAUUUUAGUCAUAAGAAUAAAAGCAUCAAUGCCGGGCAUGAUGACACGUUUGUAAUCCCAGCACCUGGAAGGCCGAGGCAGGAGGAUUUCUGCGAGUUCGAGGACAGCCUGGGCUACAGAGUGAGACCUCAAAAAACUUAAAAAAAAAAAAAAAAGCCUCCAAGUACAUCGCAGGUACUCUGAUAUGCGCCCUCCCACCCCUUUGUCUCUGCCAGUCACGACCCUCCUUGUGACCAGCAGUUUUCACUGGGGGAACGGACAUUGUCAUCCUAUGGGCGGGGGCCUGCAGGCCCAUGACUCAGGUAUUAAACUGCCCAAGGGCCCAAAGACAGCCUCAGUUUCCCUUCUUGUGGAACAGGCCAGGUAACGUCAGCGGGGACCCCAACCCGGCCUCGCACGCAGUGGCCACUCAAGGUGGGGGGCGCGGGGCCACCCAGUCCCCCCGCCCGCCGCCGUUCCGCUGUGCGCCCAAGGUGAGUGUCCGCGUCACCGUCCCUCUCCCGUGGCUCGCGCCAGGCCCCGGGGCCCUGAUCGCCGCCCCCAGGCUCCGGCCUCCCCGGGGCCAGUCUGGCACCGCGGCCCCCGGCGGGCUGCCGGCC
Molecule: long non-coding RNA, 942 nt
Organism: Chinchilla lanigera (long-tailed chinchilla)
Lineage: Eukaryota; Metazoa; Chordata; Mammalia; Rodentia; Chinchillidae
Exons: 3
Source: RefSeq, a predicted model, not a curated record